GAGAUACUAGUAAAAUAGCAUAUUACACCGCCUUGUCAAGGCCGAAUCGCGGGUUAAACCCCCGCGUAUCUUC
Molecule: transfer RNA, 73 nt
Filed under: Eumicrotremus asperrimus (Siberian lumpsucker)
Lineage: Eukaryota; Metazoa; Chordata; Actinopteri; Perciformes; Cyclopteridae
Description: tRNA-Asp
Rfam family: tRNA
About the family: Transfer RNA (tRNA) molecules are approximately 80 nucleotides in length.
Source: RNAcentral